Molecule: ribosomal RNA, 491 nt
Filed under: uncultured bacterium
Lineage: Bacteria
Description: partial 16S ribosomal RNA
Rfam family: Bacterial small subunit ribosomal RNA
Source: RNAcentral
AGUGAACGCUGGCGAUAGGCCUAACACAUGCAAGUCGAACGGCAGCACAGUAAGAGCUUGCUCUUACGGGUGGCGAGUGGCGGACGGGUGAGGAAUACAUCGGAAUCUACUUUUUCGUGGGGGAUAACGUAGGGGAAACUUACGCUAAUACCGCAUACGACCUACGGGUGAAAGCAGGGGAUCUUCGGACCUUGCGCGAUUGAAUGAGCCGAUGUCGGAUUAGCUAGUUGGCGGGGUAAAGGCCCACCAAGGCGACGAUCCGUAGCUGGUCUGAGAGGAUGAUCAGCCACACUGGAACUGAGACACGGUCCAGACUCCUACGGGAGGCAGCAGUGGGGAAUAUUGGACAAUGGGCGCAAGCCUGAUCCAGCCAUACCGCGUGGGUGAAGAAGGCCUUCGGGUUAAAGCCCUUUUGUUGGGAAAGAAAAGCAGCAGGUUAAUACCCCGCUGUUCUGACGGUACCCAAAGAAUAAGCACCGGCUAACUUCGUG